Molecule: long non-coding RNA, 1796 nt
Organism: Triticum dicoccoides
Lineage: Eukaryota; Viridiplantae; Streptophyta; Magnoliopsida; Poales; Poaceae
Exons: 3
Source: RefSeq, a predicted model, not a curated record
GCGUCGCUGAGGGGUUGGACCGGCUGGGGCGUCACCACUUGGGUGGAGAAGUAGGGGCAGCGGUGGCGCCGUGUUGGGGCGGAGGAGAAGGAUGGCGACGACGGGCGAAGACAUCGUUGGCGGCGGCGGCGGCGGCGAAUCUGGUAGAGCCCCUUUCUCUUCCCAAGCCUGCCCCUCUCACCCUUUUCCUCAAGCGGCAAGACCCCAGGGGGAUCGAGGUUGCGACGCUGACGUUAUCUCCUACUCCGGAUCCAGGGUGAGAAUCUUGUGUCUUUCCUCUUCUUCUCUGGUGACUAUGGUUUGAAGAUUUGGGAUCAGGCAGCUGGCCUUGGCGGGGGUCACAUUGCAAGAACCGAAGCAGAUGCAGUAGAGAAGCAGAAGCGACCAGUUCACUCCGUUAUGAAAUCUUGUUUCUGAUUCUUGGAUCCUGUGUAGUAGAGAAGCAGAACUCAGCGGGUAUUCCUUUGGAUACAUUAUGAGUAUGCUGAAGGUUGAAAAUGAGGCUGUCACUGCUGAAGAUUGGCACCAACACGGGUGUCGUUCGGCUUCGCUGCUUGAUUCGGCAAGGUCCUCACGUUCUUCUUCAAGGAGGACUUUGCACUCAAGGUAGGGGCCAUCUUCAAAGCCACAUGCCCGCUCUACGAUGGCGCACUGCAAGAACGCCUCGGUCAUCACCUGAAUCUCAUGGAGCGUGUUGCAGGCUGUGGAACAAGCUCCGCGAGGUUCGUAUGUUGAUGUUUGUGCUCAAAAUUUUGACAAUUCCACUCGAAUAGCACUUCUCCAGUGUAUGUAUAUAUGCAAUCGACUGCAAUCUGUAAGUACAAGCUCCGGGAGAGCACCGUGGCCUCUGCUAUCCGUGACACGAGAUAGGUCCCUUCCCUGACGUAGGCAAUAGCCCCAUCCCUUGCUGAUACGGAUAAAGACCCAAGAAUCCUUUUAUUGAUUCCCCUCUCAAGUAUGUACCCGAUCGGUUGGAACGUGGAAACAUCACAAAUUCACAUGUGAGUAGCGGAGAGAACAAUGUCAAGGCCAUGUCCAGAAGCAAGCGUAGCAAGGCAUCCGGCGAGGGUGCUGGUUGCGGAUGAUAUCGUACGGAGGUGCUGCUGCCUCCACUGGGUGGUCGGCUGGUGGUCAAGCCAUCGCUGGCGCCGGUGUCAAAGCUGUUGUACCACUUCCCCAUCGCAGGGUUCGACGCCAAGGCGGCGUACUCAUUUCAUGUUCCUCGUCGCGCCCCAGGGAGAACGAGUUGUUGCUCAUCACCUUUACUAUGCCCGAUGCAACACCUGGAGGUGCUGACGCCCACAUCGUGCCAUAGCCUCACCAUCAUGUACGAUGCUAAAGAGGGGCUCAGGUGCAGCCCGGCUGGGGUUCGACAGUACGCUUGAACACUAAGGCCGUGAGGAUAAUCAGCGGGAUGCACGGGCCCCAUGAGUAGCAGGACAUGAGGUGUACACUACUGGAGGCGGAUGCUGCUGGAAGGCUGUUGGCCGGCGGCAGCCCGAGCGGUGCCCUUAGGAUGUGCAGGUCUGUGGCCAACACUAGCCAAACAAGUACAUCUCUGAUCUCUCUCUUUUGCUAGCUAUCUCUUCUACUAAACAGCAUACCUAUUGUUAUCUAGAUGACUAGAUGCACAACCACAUAAGUUGUUCGACGCAUGCUCUAACAUGCGAUGAUUGAUUUUAUGCAUCUUCUAUGAGCACUUGCUAAAAUAAUUAAUACAUUGGAAUGCUUCGAAUCCAAAUGUAUAAGUUUACUUGAACGGUGUAGUUGAUUGGACUUUGGAGUGCAUAUUUGGU